UCAUUUAAAUUUAAAGCCAAAAUGUAUCAACCAUUCAAAAUACAUCCCAAUAAUAUCAUUCGUUUACAGUUUCAAAUUACUACAUCCACAAAAUAUAUACCAAACUAUCCAUAUAUACAUCUCAAAUUCACUUUUCAAUAUAAUCAAAUAUAUACCAAUCUGAUCCCAUGCUUACAUAGCUCAUAGUUGUAACUAACCAAAUAUGCUCAAGGGGCCUGUCUGGUUCGAAGAAUCUAGACCAUGAUCAGCAUUUCGCAUACAUGUAAUCCAUUUCCUGACCAAGGGAAAAAAAAGAUACAAAAUUCAGAAUUUUAUUCACAGUAGCUUUGCUUGAACAAAAAACAGUCUUUAGGCAUGCAGAAAAUUUUGCACCACCAAAUUAUAGCAUUGGGACCACCCAUGUAUGAUGAAUCAUCAACUAAUUACAGUUAAGCUACUUUGUAUUAUUUUUUUUUGAAUCUGUAGCAUUACCCCAUGGGGUAGCGAACUAAUAGGCAUAUCAAGUAAAGUUUAGAAAUGUAAGUGCAGUAUGGCAGCUUCUUCACCCUGCUGAAUUCCAAUUUACAUGAGAAGAAAAAAAUAAAUGAAACGAUAAAAAAAUCAUAAAAAUACAAGGACUUGCACAUACCAGAAAAAACUGACUACAUUUCUUAGGCCAGUUUAUCGAAUUGGCAACGAGACACUUAUUCAUGACUGUCAGGUACAGCUCCCCGUACCUAAGUUCUCCCAUAACCUUCAAAAGGAGUGAGUCAAUGGCAUGUAUUCCACUUCAACAAGAGGGGAGCCACAUGAUUGAACCAUGCCAACUUCGAGAGGUACCCAUGCAGGCUUAUGUUGGACUUACGUAACUUACCCAAUACAUGGCUUUGUGAAAUGGAUGGUAGCCCAUGCAGAUAAUCUCAACUUUUUAGAUACCCUCAAUUCCAAAAAUUUAAAUAAAAAAUCACAACUGCAGCCUGGUAGUUACCAGAUGCUUCAACAAUACCCAUUGCCAGAGGACUGUAGGCUAAUAAGCUUAUCCUACAAAUGUCAUGGUGCAAGCAUCACCAAGAAUGAUUUCAAAAACAGGACAUAAAUUUAACACAAAUAAUUCCAGCAUCAGAUCAAUAAACAUGAACUCCAUUUUUAUACGGAAGCUCUUGAGAUACGUAUAUACAGCCAAUCUCAGAACAAAGCAAAGUUGCAUUAAACAGCGCACUUCUUCCAGAGUUGCCUCUCCAAGGUUCUUAGUAAAAUUAAAUCACAUAAUCUAAAUUAUCCGUGCUCCAGUCACCAACUAAUAAACACAUGAGAUACCUCUCAUGAUGACAGCACUCGGCCAUUCCUGAAUCGAAAUUUUGGCAGAGCAAGUUAUAUGAAUUCUACAAUAAAUAAUCAAAGAAAAUGAGUUAUGUAUAAGCCUCAAAAUGAAUAAAUCCGUGUGAGAGAGAUAGAGAUGAGAAGUCUCACUAUUGAACUAUAAUUGAGACAUACAACACCUGCACAGAUACUAUUCUAGGAUACCCAGGACAACUUUCAGCAACUUGUAGGAACUUCAUGUGGCUAUAUGGUGUCUCAUUACUGAGACCGAUGUACGUAAUCUACAAGACAUAGUUUCUAUUCUAUUAAGAGGAAAGUCAUGUUGAAGAAAGAAUGACUAAAAAGGAUAAAGUCUGGACAUUAUCACUAACAAACUAUUAUAUAAUGAGGGGUAAUGUAAAUAAAUUUAUGUAACAACAACAAAAACUCCUUAAAUGAAUGAGUACUCAACAACUAAUCUAGCAUUACUCGAUGCUCUGCCUCAACUGUAAUGCCUCCGCUGCUCUCCUUGCCCUAAAACUAAGCACAUGCUAGAUUUUUCAUGGGGUUGACACACUUUUGGAAUCGAAAACCAAAUUAGGCUUAAAGUUGGACUAGGAGAUGAUUUCAAGAUGAAUCUCUGUGGGCAAUUAAGAUAGUGUCAGAUGGGUUUGUUUUCGAAGGCCUCGGGGCUAAUAUGAGGUGAAUUGGGGGUUGAACUGCCAAACAAAAGCCGACUUAACCAACAAAAUAUUUGAACUGGUGUUGCGGCACCGAUAUUUUUUUUGCUAAUCUAGACAACUGACCAUCUUGCGGAUUGCUAUAGUUGACAUAACCAUAGCCCAGAGAUCGACCGGUACUUAAAUCCCUACAAACCCUAACCGAAGCAACCUGACCCACUUGGUUAAACAGGAGACACGACAGAGAGUGGAGGAGGACAGAAAACCCCAGAUUGAGAAAUUUGGUCUAUUUGUUUGUGUUAGGGCUGAGAAAUUAGGAGAGGAGAGAAAUUUGGUCUGAGAUUUUUAGAAAGAUGAACAAAAUUGGAAAAAAUAUAAACUCUAGAUUCAUACCUGAUUGUCUUUUGCUAACAGCGAUGGUGGGGCUGAGAUGGUUAAUCCGCAGAGGAGCGGGAGAGACGUAUGCGGAAGGCCGGGUUUCCUCACCUUCCGGUGAGGCGGCUUGCGAGAAGUGGGUUUUUAACGAAGAAGAUCUGAAUAUGCUGAAUGUUUAGGGAUUUAGAAGAAGAAUAGCUGGUAGGGAUAUGCUAAAGUGGGUUUGCUCCUUGUUUCAUUUCCGCGUCUUUUUUUUAGCUCUGUGUUUUUCUUGAUAGACAACGUUUUUA
RNAcentral lists this long non-coding RNA (2623 nucleotides) under Panax ginseng (ginseng). RNAcentral's name for it is "long non-coding RNA (PGIN_LNC007659)". Lineage: Eukaryota; Viridiplantae; Streptophyta; Magnoliopsida; Apiales; Araliaceae. The record is from RNAcentral.